AGCCAGUCCUCUGCUAGAUGCCUGUUUGCAGGGCGUCAAAAGCAAAUCCCUGUAAACAGCAACAACAAUCUGUGGUUUAAAAAGCCACAAAACCAUGUCAGCCUCACCUCAGCACAUCACUCCAACCGAGUAUCUAUAUCCCAUAAUGCGUUUGAGAGACAAAACGCACAACUAAUGAUAAACCCGUCCAAAAAGGCAGUGUAAUCCAGUUAUUACUGCACCUACUGCAUAAGAGGCAGCAUCAUCAAUGCAAAGUUACACUAUAAAGCAGCAGAUGAGGUGCAAAAGCAGAAAAUACAGACAGCUGAUUUCAUCACUUCAUAUGGACACCGAGCGUAAACCAUACAGGAAAAUACCCCCUACCUGGUAGAAGAGCUGCGUCUUUGUCUCAGCAGGAAACAUGUGGAAUGUGACAUUGCAUGUUUUGGCGGGUGAAGAUUCUCAGUCAUUCAGGAAAGUUGUCUGAAAGUUGAGUUACGUCAACUGGACGUCAGGAGGCGCGAGAUGAUGAGGAUCCUGUUACAUGUCCCUAAUAAGAGGAUGCAAUGAGGUGAUGGACUGUGGCUCACAACCAGGAGUACACAUUUAUAAUGGAGGUCAAACUCAACAACUGACAAGACAAAACAUCACAAUUGGCUUUACGCCGGAACGUUUAAAUGUGAAUGGGAGUGAAAAAUAACACAAACUGUAGCUACAUCACGAAUACAACUCACCAAUCAAUAAAAUCCAAAGCACCCCGUUAGCAUGUAGCCUUAGCUACCAGUAAGCUAGCAGCUAGGUUGACAAGGCUGCAAGAAACUGCCAGCAACAAAAACGCAGCUCAGACGAGGAUUAGGUUAAAAAGCGUGAUUCCUGCCUCAGUGAAGGUGAAGAUCGGGGUGCUGAGGUGACACACAAGCUAACAAGCUUACGGCAAACGACGGCCCAGAAGCUGAGUGAUGCAACGGUGGAGACAUUUCGGAACCACGCCGCCCUUUAGGCCUCGUCGCCUCGGCUCAAAGAAGACGCGGAGGUGGCGCCAGUGCUCAGCCUCCCAGAAGAAUGCUGGCAGAAUAAAGGCCAGGCCCGACUGGUGCUGCCCACAGCCGACUGCACAAGGCUCUCCUGUUGCGGGUCAGAGAGGCAGCGGGCGGCAGAUGAGGUGGAUGACACCAGGCCUCUUAUGAUGAAUGAUUCAGCUGCAUUUAGAAAACUAUUGAUUCUGUCCUGGGCCUAAUAGUAGGUGAUGAUGGCACGGAGGUGAAUCCAUUACUGGCUGGGAAGCUGUAUGAGGUAUGCAGAGGGCUAAUGUGUGUCCUUUGCCAUUCGUCAUCACCAGCGUGCACCGGAGGAGCGUGCAAGUGUGGCAUAACUCUGUGCUCUUGUCCUCUAAUCCCGUGGGCAGAGGAGGGAGCGUCGUCGAUUAAACUGGAAAGCAACUGCGCCAAAGGACAAAGGCUACUUUGACUCCCUUCGUCCUCGCGCCUGAGGAAUCUCCCCGUCGCACCCAGGCAGAAAAAAGGGAGAAGCAAACAAAGCAGGUGCCUUUGCUCAGUCUGCAUCCCCUCCGUCUCCAUCUGAGGAAGUGCUUUGUGGGCUGUCAGCGAAGCAGGCGACCCCACGCGAUCGAUCGCGUCUUCUGGGACGGCACAGACGUCCACCUCUCAUGACACAUCACAAAAUGGG
RNAcentral lists this long non-coding RNA (1665 nucleotides) under Betta splendens (Siamese fighting fish). RNAcentral describes it as "lncRNA (ENSBSLG00000022116.1)". The record is from RNAcentral. Lineage: Eukaryota; Metazoa; Chordata; Actinopteri; Anabantiformes; Osphronemidae.